This 62-nucleotide microRNA precursor is filed under the name Drosophila melanogaster (fruit fly). RNAcentral describes it as "Dme-Mir-971_pre stem-loop". It matches the Rfam family "mir-971 microRNA precursor family", at positions 11 to 69 of the family's 77-position model. RNAcentral also lists the same sequence under 2 other names. The record is from RNAcentral. Lineage: Eukaryota; Metazoa; Arthropoda; Insecta; Diptera; Drosophilidae.
GCUGUAAAUUGUAAUCAUCAAAGCGUUUUCUCAGAGCCGCUUGGUGUUACUUCUUACAGUGA